RNAcentral lists this long non-coding RNA (2747 nucleotides) under Homo sapiens (human). Its description in RNAcentral is "non-protein coding DHRS4-AS1:7". The record is from RNAcentral. Lineage: Eukaryota; Metazoa; Chordata; Mammalia; Primates; Hominidae.
AGAACACUGGGGAGACUAGAUCGAUAGGGCUGCACAGAGGUGGCACAGUUGUGCCAGAGGGCCAGACUUUGGCAGCGUGUAAGGUCUGAGGACAGGGGCACCGGAGGCCGAGGAUGAGAGGCCAGUGCCUGUUUCCAGGCAGCCAGGGCCUCAGAAACUCCGGCCGGAGCACUCACCCGUCGGUGGAGGCCGUUACCAGGGCCACCUUAUUUGCGAGCGGGUCCCGGCGGGUCAUCCCGGAGCUGGCCAUCCGCACCGAAUUCCAAGCCCGGGCACAGAGGCCUAGCAGCCCCGCCUUGUGCAUGGAUCAGACCAGCAAGUGCCACUUCGGAUAAACCCUUUGGACUCCUAACUCCAAUCAGGUGUCUGCUUUGUUGAGGACUCACAGACACAGUCUCCUUUCUUCAAGAUCUUUACAAUGCAAGACCUCACUAACACACAGGGAUGGUCUCCCAGAGGGUCUGUGCUGUUCCUUCACUCAGAACAUCAAGAUGCACUGAAGUAAGGAUCCUCUAUUCUACAGUUCCUGCUAGCUGAGCUAUUCCAUGGGGGCUUCAGCAGGAAAUUCCAAGGUUGGCUUUGACAAGCUAAGGCCGGCUGGUGGAGCACAUCGAGUUCUGGAGGUUCAUGUGUGUUUUCAUGAAGAUCUGUCUGCCCGUAGCAGAUAAAGAGUUGUUGCCCCACUCCUCCUGGGGUCUUCUAUUUUCCUGGGAGGAAUUUCUGGAUUAACUGAACACACACACACACACACACACCCUUUUGAAGCAUCAACAGUAAUUCUGAGUUCUUAGGGACAAUGCAGAUUAAAUCCACAAUAAGAAAGACAACUAUGGCCAGGUGUGGUGGCUCACGCCUGUAAUCCCAGAACUUUGGGAGGCUGAGGCGGAUGGAUCACCUGAGGUCAGGAGUUAGAGACCAACCUGACCAACAUGGAGAAACCCCGUUUCUACUAAAAAUGCAAAAUUAGCCGGGCAUGGUGGCAGGCGCCUGUAAUCCCAAAUACUCGGGAGGCUGAGGCAGGAGAAUCACUUAAACCCGGGAGGCAGAGGUUGCAGUGAGCCAAGAUCGCGCCAUUGCACUCCAGCCUGGGCAAGAAGAGCAAAACUCCAUCUCAAAAAAAAAAAAAGAGUACUAUUGAUCCAGAGGUGACCAGACUAGCCUCACUGGAGAUAAUAGGUGACAUUAUUAUGCAAAGUGGUUUCAGUUCCCUUGUCUUGUUUUUGGAAUAGUAUAAGAGGCCUACAAUACGAAUAAAUAAGGCCCAUCACAAGCCUCACCAAAGGACAAAACUAAUCCACUUCUGAAGAAGGCUCUUUGUUGGGCCAGAUCAAAUCCUUGGACAGAACUGUACUCUUAAUCUCUGUAGUGAAAGUGGGGGGUAGUUUAAGAAUUUAUUAACCUUCUACCUUGAGCAAUCCCUCAGAAGUAAGAGGUGUCAGGCCUCUGAGCCGAAGCUCAGCCAUUGUAACCCCUGUGACCUGCACAUAUAUGUCCAGAUGGCCUGCAGGAGCCAAGAAGUCUGGGGCAGCUGAAAAACCACACAAGAAGUAAAACAGCCAGUUCCUGCCUUAACUGAUUAACCAACAUUACAACAUUCCACCAUUGUGACCUGUCCCUGUCCUACCUUAACUGAUCAAUCGACCUUGUGACAGUCUUCUUCUGGACAAUGGGUCUUAUCAUCUCCCCACCAUGUACCUUGUGACCCCCUCCUCUGCUAACAAUAGAUAACCACUUUUUACUGUAAUUUUCCAUUACCUACCCAACUCCUAUAAAGCAACCCCUUCCCCAUCUCCCUUCACUGACUCUGUUUUCAGACUCAGCCCACUUGCACUCAAGUGAAUAAACAGCCUUGUUGCUCACACAAAGCCUGUUGGUGGUCUCUUCACACAGAUGUGCUUGACAAAAGGGAAGGGUGGAUUUGUCCUUCUGGUUACAUAUGUUCUGCUCACUCAUUUUGAAUUUAAUUAAACAAGGAUUGCCCUUACCUUUUCAUACUUUGUAAGAAACCAUAAAUACUUAUGCACCAUGAUUUUUUUAAAGAAACACUUUUUAUUUUGAAGUAAUUAUAGUCUCAUAGGAAGUUGCAAAAGUAGUACAUAGAGUCCCUGAGUACUCUUCCCCCAGUGGUGACAACUGUAGUAUAAUAUCAAUUCUGGGAAAUUGACAUUGGUACAAUACCAAAUAUACUAUGCCUUUUUCUCUAAGGCAUGAUGUUGCAGUAGCAUCCUUGUACAUGUAGCUAGGAGAACUUGUACUAAGCCCAGAUAAAUAGUUGAAGUACAAGGGCAAGGAGUGUGUCUUUGAUAUUUUAAUAGAAAUCACCUAUUGCCCUCUAGAAAAGCUGUACCCUUUUCCAGUGGCAGAGAACCUUCCUGAAAGGCAGUCCUGUGUAAUGGUGUCCAUUUCAUCACACCCUUAAAACACUCAGCUUUAACAAACAUGCAGAUUUUUGCUGAUGUGGGAGAAAAUAUUAAUUAUUAAUGAUAUUAAGGUGAUUAUCUUUUCGUAUGUUUAUAGAUAUUUGUAUUUCUUUUUAAAUGAACUGCUCAUGACCUUUGUCUACUUUUAUUUGGGUUUACUUCUUUCUCAUUUAUUCCUAUAAACUCUUUAUAAAAGGAAAUUAACCAUUUGAUUGUCAUAUGUUGUGAAUAUUUUUACCAUUUUGACUUUUGAAUUUAUGUCUUUUUAAUGAAUUGUAGAAGUUUAAAAUCUUUAUGGAAUAAAUUUAUUUAGUUUUUUGUUUAUGG